RNAcentral lists this ribosomal RNA (351 nucleotides) under uncultured eukaryote. Its description in RNAcentral is "partial 18S ribosomal RNA". It matches the Rfam family "Eukaryotic small subunit ribosomal RNA", at positions 592 to 976 of the family's 1831-position model. The record is from RNAcentral.
CAGAAGCAUAUGUUAAUGUUGCUGCAGUUAAAACGCUCGUAGUUGGAUGUGCUGGCAGGGGUGGUUGCUGUGUUGGACGGAAGUUCGAUGCGGCGGGCCGCUGUCAUAACAUUUGGGCCAUUUGUUAAGUCAGGUGGUCCUAUUUUACCUUGAAAAAAUAUUACUGCUCAAAGUAUGUCUUACGACAAUGUGAUUUCAGCAUGGGAUAAUGGAAAACGGGCCUGCAUGAUAGCGGGCCAAUGGUUAAUGAGGACGAUUGUGGAAGUUCAUAUUUACACGUCAGAGGUGAAAUUCUUGGAUUGUGUAAAGAUGAACCUCAGCGAAGGCAUUCUUCAAGGACGUGCCUGUCAA